Long non-coding RNA from Engraulis encrasicolus (European anchovy), 510 nucleotides. RefSeq lists it as uncharacterized. Lineage: Eukaryota; Metazoa; Chordata; Actinopteri; Clupeiformes; Engraulidae. The record is from RefSeq and is a predicted model, not a curated record. The transcript is spliced from 4 exons.
CAUUUUGUUUACAUAAAAUCCCUUGUCAUUUCACCACUAGGUUUGAAACCCAGACAGCACGAAGCAUCUUGCCGACGUCAAAAUCAGAUCAACAGACAGGGACAUCAGCCUUCUCUUGGGAAUAGGCCAGAUAUGCCAUAACAAGAAAUGGUGUUUUGCCCCUGCGGUUGUGAAGAGGAUGCUGUGGAGGUGGCAGCAUGAACGUGUCACACAGACAUUGGCUAAACUACUCGGCUUCUACACUUGCCCUCAGAGUUCACAUAUGGUGAAGUGCACAGGUGUCCAGUCAGGUUCAGACUGAUGCUGGUAACAAGAGGAAAACAUGCUAAUUGAUGACCUUUCCAGCAUGUCCAACUCAUCAGCAUCAGGGGAGGAGAGUCGGUGAAGGUGGUGCACCAUCCAGGACCAGUCAUGGGCCACCAACACCUCUGCAAAAUCUGCACUUCUUGUGAACCCUCUAGAAGACACUACAACCACAAAACUGCUAAUAAACCAUCACAUACUACAUCA